GCGGUAAAUUGACCGUACAAAGGUAGCAUAAUCAUUAGUUUAUUAAUUGUAAGCUGGAAUGAAUGAUUGGACGAGAAAGUUUCUGUGUCUGGUUGUAAUAAAUUAAUUUAACUUUUUAUUGAGAAGGAUAAAAUUUGUUUGAAAGACGAGAAGACCCUGUAUAUCUUAUAAUUAAGUUAAUUUGGGCUUUGAGUUUAUGGGUNNAAUUUAGUUGGGGUAAUUUAAUUUUUAAAAUAUUUUAUUUAGUUGUGACAUUAUUAAAAUUGAAUAUAUGACCUAUUUUAUAGUAAUUUGAUUAAGUUACCUCAGGGAUAACAGCAUAAUUAAGUUUUGGAGUUCUUAUCUGCAAUUUAGUNNGUGACCUCAAUGUUGAAUA
Molecule: ribosomal RNA, 376 nt
Filed under: Zorotypus manni
Lineage: Eukaryota; Metazoa; Arthropoda; Insecta; Zoraptera; Zorotypidae
Description: partial 16S ribosomal RNA
Source: RNAcentral